UCCUUGACCUAAUUUUCUCUUUUCUUUCUCAAGUGCAAACAGUUGUGCUCCUUCCUUUCUCCGCCGCUGUCCAAAUAUGAAGCUGAAGCUUUCUCUUCCGCCUCCUGAUGAAGAAUCUUUCGCUAAAUUCUUAACUCAAAGCUGUACUUUUAUGGAUGGCGAUCUGCUUGUUAAUCGCGAUAGGGUUCGUAUUGUCUCUCAAAUUAAACCUGAAGCUAUGCAAGAGAUGUGGAAGAAUAUGCAAAAUGGUAUGCCACUUAGCGGAGGAGCAGGGAUUUGAGGAUCGCAGGCCAUCGAGUCUUCUUUCUUAUUUUUAUUAUUAUGAUGUUUCUAUCGUACUUAUAUACCUUAAACUACAAUAUAUUGACAUAUGUUGAACAUAGGAGUUAACUUUUAAUUUGAAUAUUUGGUUGUAUAAACUUUUAUAUAUU
This is a long non-coding RNA of Mercurialis annua (annual mercury), 431 nucleotides long. RefSeq lists it as uncharacterized. The transcript is spliced from 3 exons. The record is from RefSeq and is a predicted model, not a curated record. NCBI's taxonomy places the organism in Eukaryota, Viridiplantae, Streptophyta, Magnoliopsida, Malpighiales, Euphorbiaceae.